AGUGAACGCUGGCGGUAGGCUUAACACAUGCAAGUCGAACGGCAGCACAGUAAGAGCUUGCUCUUACGGGUUGCGAGUGGCGGACGGGUGAGGAAUACAACGGAAUCUACAUUUUCGUGGGGGAUAACGUAGGGAAACUUACGCUAAUACCGCAUACGACCUUCGGUUGAAAGCAGGGGAUCUUCUGACCUUGCGCGAUUGAAUGAGCCGAUGUCGGACUAGCUAGUUGGCUGGUUAAAGGCCCACCAAGGCGACGAUCCGUAGCUGGUCUGAGAGGAUGAUCAGCCACACUGGAACUGAGACACGGUCCAGACUCCUACGGGAGGCAGCAGUGGGGAAUAUUGGACAAUGGGCGCAAGCCUGAUCCAGCCAUACCGAGUGGGUGAAGAAGGCCUUCGGGUUGUAAAGCCCUUUUGUUGGGAAAGAAAAGCAGUAGCUUAAUACGCAGCUGUUGUGACGGUACCCAAAGAAUAAGCACCGGCUAACUUCGUG
This 492-nucleotide ribosomal RNA is filed under the name uncultured bacterium. RNAcentral's name for it is "partial 16S ribosomal RNA". It matches the Rfam family "Bacterial small subunit ribosomal RNA", at positions 29 to 507 of the family's 1533-position model. The record is from RNAcentral.